GUCCAAAUCCAAGUAUGAGGAAACAGAUGUUCAGAAUUGUGGUUCGCGAAAUGAUGAAAGUAACCACGUCAUUAAGUAAAAAGAAUGCUACUGAUGUGGCUAGGAAAUUAGUGGCAAAAUACCCCAAGUCACUACAAGAUGUCAUUGAAGGCGACAUAAUUGGCACAGGGUAUGGCUCCCUCGUGAAACAAAUUCAAAAUCGGAUCGAAAAUGUGAAAAGACCUACAACACCAAAAAUCAAGAAAAGAACUUCACAUGACUCGGACACUGACAAAAUCCCCCCUGAAAAACGGGCAGCGAUUCAAGACACCUAUGGGUGCAUCCGUUGGCAUGUCAAGUUUCUGCCCCUUGGAGAAAUGGCCGAAAGCCAGCAGCAGAAGAAAGAGGAGCUUAAAAAUCUGUUUAGCCAGAAUGAAGAAAGCCCAGGUCCUUUGAAAAUGCUUAUGAAGUCCACAUUCUACAGCCAGCGACAAGAUGUGAACCAAGGGAAAGACAUGAAGUACCUCCUGGAAAACUGGCCAUAUUGGUUUCAUGAAAUUGGCAUGAUUGUUCACUUUAACGAGCUCACUGGAGUUGACCUAAAGGAAACCUUCCUGAAAAAUGUGGAACAGAAGGGGGAAAGGCUCUUGCACUUCCUGAAGACAGUUGCUGUCAACAAAUCCAAAAGAUUCUAUCAAGCUGCAACAAAGCUACAAAUGAUGAGGGGAGAACACUCAGGCUACACACAGGUCACAGAGAUGGUGCUGCUUCUUCUAGAUUAUUUUCAUACGGGUUUUUCAUACAAUCUUGUUUUCACGCUUGACACGAGUUAGUGACUGACAUGUUAAAAUGUAAACUUAAUUUCUGGAAUAUUUUUAUUUUUACUUUUUUUUUAAGGACAAUCCUGCUAUUCCUCCAGAAGGAUGAUGCUGAGUCUGGAUCAAGUCAUCGUGAACGAGAACAUCUCUUCCUUUAUCUCGUCCUUGUGCAUGAUGUUUGGCAGUUAUUACUGCUUUAACAUCCAUUAUCCAACUGCGCUUGCAUCAACCCUGGAAUUUCUUCAGAGAUGUUUCUUCUCUAUUAAUCCAGAGAGGGGGAUGAAAGUGGAGCGAACAAAUGCUAUGUGGUUGCAUGUUAAUCCAAGAGUUCUUACCUUGAUUCAGGACCUCUCCAACCAUGAAUGGCGAGCCAUUUAAAAAGAUGUUCUUCUCGAGUUUGUUUCUAUUAAUCCGGGGAAGGGGAUGCACAAAAGCAAUGCGGUUGCACGUUAAUCCAAGUUUCCUUACCUUGAGUCAGGACCUCUCCGACCGUGAUUGGCGAGCUGUUUAAAAAGAACUGAGAGACGAUCACCUAAUGGAGGCUGAAGAUGGAUAUUUUCAGAAGCACAAGAGAUGGAACUCAUCAACAUGAUCAUAUGGCCCUUUUCUACUACCCUUUUUCAGCUCGCUUCAGCCCGACACGGCUCGCAUUUCGACUAUCCAAAAACAGCAUGACUUGGCUCGCUUCAGCCCUGCUUAGCCCCCAAAACUCGCACGGUUUUGGAGUGGGGCUGAAGCGAGCCAAACCGAGCUGAGUGAGGCUAGGGGCGUGAGGAGACACUCCCCUGCACGCUGAUUGGUGAGGAGGAGUGUCCUCACACGCCCACACACGCCCCACGAGCACGCUGGGAUCUGUAAACACCGUAAACCCGGAAGAAGAAGAAUUACGAGAAUUAUGAAGCCGAAUGCGCCUCGCCUCAUCUAUACGCUCUUGCCAGUAUCUGUUGGCGUUGUCAGUGACAACAAGCCACAGCACCAAGACCAGCAACACUAACGACUCCAUGUCCUCCAUGUUUAUUGUUUACUAUCUGGGUUGCGAGACUACCGCUUAAAAGGUCACUGAUGUCACUGUUUGCGCCGCCUAACGACAUCACCUGACGUCCACCCACUUUCGCUAACUCCACCAAAUGUGUCCACCCACUUCCAGCCAGCACGGUUCAGCGCGGUUGUAGUCGAAAUGCAACUCCAACAGCCCCACUCGGCUCGACUCAGCCCAACUCAGCACGGCACGGCUCAGCCGCAUUGGUAGUGGAAAAGCGGCAAUAGAUCAUCAGGGAAUAUACCAAGGUGGUGAUGCAGUCAGCGUCUCAAUGACAGACCGCGUUCUUUGAUGGAACAGGCUGAGGAUGAAACAGGCCUAUCGUCUUCUUUUCAAAAUGAACUCUGAUAGAGUCAAAGACCAGCGCUUGGAAUAUGUGCGAGGAUGGUUUCUCAGACUGUAUCAGGUCUUUGCAGAGGCUCCAACCAAGCUCAGUGAAAGAGAGGGAGAUCUCCCUACACUCACCCCAGAAAAUAGGGAGAAUUUUUUAAACCUUGAAUGACACACACAAAGCUACAGCAAGAUGCUAAAUGAUACACAUAACGGUACAAAUGAUUAAAAUGUACAAACAAACAAGAUUUCUGUAUCAAAAUAACAUCUAUUUAUUCAAAUUUUGUUAUUUGUCAGUUGGGUGAAGUACAAUCAUA
Long non-coding RNA from Neoarius graeffei (lesser salmon catfish), 2483 nucleotides. RefSeq lists it as uncharacterized. The record is from RefSeq and is a predicted model, not a curated record. Lineage: Eukaryota; Metazoa; Chordata; Actinopteri; Siluriformes; Ariidae. The transcript is spliced from 4 exons.